Long non-coding RNA from Phyllostomus hastatus (greater spear-nosed bat), 1393 nucleotides. RefSeq lists it as uncharacterized. The record is from RefSeq and is a predicted model, not a curated record. The transcript has 8 exons. NCBI's taxonomy places the organism in Eukaryota, Metazoa, Chordata, Mammalia, Chiroptera, Phyllostomidae.
ACCCGCAACCUUGGAGUAUUGGGACAAUGGUCUAACCAGCCGAGCUACCCAGCCUGGGCUGUUGAGUUUUCUUGAAACUAGUUACAGAUUGGUGCUCUCCAGUCUCUGGGUGAGACUAAGAAGAGAGAGAGAUGGUGGAUGGGAGGUGACUUCUGGCCAAGCAGAGGCUGCGGAGGAGUCAGCAGAAAGUGAUUACUCCUGAUUCUGGAAAGUCUGUGACUGCUCCUGCUGGCAGUGCGCUCUCUCUGUGGAAGUCCACGGUGGUUGGAUUGCCAAUGACCAGAAGUCAGGGCCAGGAGAGAAAUGUUGAGGGGUUUCUCCAAUGGAUUCAUAAAAGGCUCCAAAAGAAAAUGCUUAAAAGCUUAAACUCUUGCUGAUGACUCAGAUGGGAUUUUUCUACCUACACCAAAGCCAGAGGAUGCUAGCCAGCACCUUCUUCCCUGAUCUGCAAGAACUUCCCUCAAGUUCCAGAUGGGCUGGAUUUGUGUUCCCACACUCUGGUGCAUUCACGAUCCCCCUGAGGAGCUGGGGGUGGAAAGGCCUCUGCUUGCUGAGACAUGGAAUUGAAACAGCUCGUAUUAGUCAAGGUCUGACGUCCCAGAAGUGAGCAGUCAUUCACCAGCCCCCAUCUCUGGGCCUGCCUGGUCUUCCGUGCUGCCACUACACUCACAGUUCCGCCCGACUGGACCCGUCCCUCAGGGAGCCUGCGGUUCCCACAGGCCCACAGGUGCCGCCGGUUUGCACAGACCUGGCUUCCGAGUUCUCCCAACUGCUUCUUCCCUCCUCCAGGGCCUCCUUCUCCAUCAACCCAGUUAACAAACAUCCGUGGAUACCCAGGUGGCCUUUGCACAGCACUGGGGUUUUAGGAACAGCAAGGAGCUUCGAUGUCAUCACCACCUAUCUUCAAUGUCAGACCUUAAAAUACCGUGUCCAGCUAUUCUGGUUCUGUGGAAGGCAGAGAAGAAAGUUUCCAAUUAGAAAUCUUGUUUUCGAAGUUGCAUAAUUUGCCUGGUGCCCAGGUUCAUGUGCUCUGCUAACCCUGAGAUAUUGGCUGAAGGCAUCUGAUACACAGCUCAACAUUCUGGUUUGGAGAGAGCAUCUGGAAGAACCCAAGGACUCUUAGGUGGAGGCUGUGGAGAAGCAUGUGGCACUGAGGGACUUGGAAGAAGUCACUCCCUUGCAUCCGUCUUCGCUACAGAUAAGAAGAGACUAAUUACCACUCUAUGAGGGCCUGCAAGAUAUUUAAAAGAUGUCUUCAUCUUAAGAAAAGUGGAAGCCACUGCUUUACAGCCUCCUCAUGAGCAAAGGCUGAAGGGCAAACAAAGAUAUCAGACAUAAUUAUGUCAUGAUGAUUCGACACAAAUCCACACACUGAAUGAAUGGCUUAUAUUAC